This 803-nucleotide ribosomal RNA is filed under the name uncultured marine bacterium. RNAcentral's name for it is "bacterial SSU rRNA". It matches the Rfam family "Bacterial small subunit ribosomal RNA", at positions 37 to 889 of the family's 1533-position model. The record is from RNAcentral.
UGGUGGACGCCUUAUACAUGCAAGUCGAACGAAGUAGCAAUACUUAGUGGCAGACGGGUGAGUAACAUGUAGGUAUCUUCCCUUUGGUGAGGAAUAACACGAGGAAACUUGUGCUAAUACCUCAUAAGUCUUUACGGAGAAAGCUUUAUGCGCCAAAGGAUGAGCCUGCACUUGAUUAGUUUGUUGGUGGGGUAAUGGCCUACCAAGACUGUGAUCAAUAGCUGAUCUGAGAGGAUGAUCAGCCACAUUGGGACUGAGACACGGCCCAAACUCCUACGGGAGGCAGCAGUAGGGAAUAUUGCACAAUGGAGGAAACUCUGAUGCAGCGAUGCCGCGUGAGUGAAGAAGGCCCUUGGGUUGUAAAGCUCUUUCGUCGGGGAAGAAAAUGACUGUACCCGAAUAAGAAGGUCCGGCUAACUUCGUGCCAGCAGCCGCGGUAAUACGAAGGGACCUAGCGUAGUUCGGAAUUACUGGGCUUAAAGAGUUCGUAGGUUGUUAAAAUAGUUGGUGGUGAAAUCCCAGAGCUUAACUCUGGAACUGCCAUCAAAACUUUUUAGCUAGAGUAUGAUAGAGGAAAGCAGAAUUUCUAGUGUAGAGGUGAAAUUCGUAGAUAUUAGAAAGAAUACCAAUUGCGAAGGCAGCUUUCUGGAUCAUUACUGACACUGAGGAACGAAAGCAUGGGUAGCGAAGAGGAUUAGAUACCCUCGUAGUCCAUGCCGUAAACGAUGUGUGUUAGACGUUGGAAAUUUAUUUUCAGUGUCGCAGCGAAAGCAUUAAACACACCGCCUGGGGAGUACGACCGC